GUGAAGAGGGCCGUGAAGAAAAGAAAACAGAGCAUGUGAUUUAGCCCGUGCUUCUCCCCCACCCACUCCCCGCCCCACCCCAGGAGCCUUUUGGCAACCCCUGGAGAAGUUUCUGGGUGUCACAAGCAGAGGGAAGGCGCUGCUGGCAUCUGGUGGGUGGAGCCCAGGAGGCUGCCACACAUCCCAUCGCCCACCGGACACCCCCCACGACAGUGUCAAUGGUGGCGAGAGGGAGGAAGCUCCGUCUGCCAGGGAAGACCUCCCGGAGGAGGUGAUGGAAGAGCCGAGACUGAGCUCCAGCACAAGUCCCUGGAGGAAGCGACGUGGAGCGCUGGUGUGAGGACAUGUGCUUGUUCCAAAAGGGUGGAAAAGAUCCAGGUGGCCGACUCAUCCGCACAGAAGGAGACGGCCCAGAACCGGCAGCCAUCUUCCAUCUUCCCUCAAAUGUGCGCCUUCCCAGCACCGAGCGCUGCUGCCUUCGGCUCUGAAUUUCUCGCCUGAGCUGAAAACACCCCCCUGGGUUCCCAGAGUCCCCAGAGAGAGGCCCUGUGUCAAAAUCCUGCUCUCGAGGACAGGUGUCAGACCCAGCUUCUGAGAAACUCCACUUCACAAGAAGGGGCGUUAUGGGAAAUUUGCAGGAAUACAUUUUUAGUAAAUAAACAAAUUUUCUAAAAAUGAUAAUUUGCCCA
This 689-nucleotide long non-coding RNA is filed under the name Sus scrofa (pig). RNAcentral describes it as "lncRNA (ENSSSCG00015044803.1)". Lineage: Eukaryota; Metazoa; Chordata; Mammalia; Artiodactyla; Suidae. The record is from RNAcentral.